GAAAGGCAACGGCGGCGGCGGCGGCGGGGAAAGAACUAGCAGAUCAAGACGGCGCCGACGAGAUCCUCCUCCGGCGACUGGUCCCCGGUUGAUCUUGAUGAAAACAUUUGGAAGGAUAUGAACAACGAAUGAUCCCACCAACUGCUUUU
Molecule: long non-coding RNA, 149 nt
Organism: Lolium rigidum
Lineage: Eukaryota; Viridiplantae; Streptophyta; Magnoliopsida; Poales; Poaceae
Exons: 2
Source: RefSeq, a predicted model, not a curated record